This 1106-nucleotide ribosomal RNA is filed under the name Citrobacter freundii. RNAcentral's name for it is "partial 23S ribosomal RNA". It matches the Rfam family "Bacterial large subunit ribosomal RNA", at positions 552 to 1659 of the family's 2925-position model. Lineage: Bacteria; Pseudomonadati; Pseudomonadota; Gammaproteobacteria; Enterobacterales; Enterobacteriaceae. The record is from RNAcentral.
GAAACCGUGUACGUACAAGCAGUGGGAGCCCCUUUAUGGGGUGACUGCGUACCUUUUGUAUAAUGGGUCAGCGACUUAUAUUCUGUAGCAAGGUUAACCGUAUAGGGGAGCCGAAGGGAAACCGAGUCUUAACUGGGCGUUAAGUUGCAGGGUAUAGACCCGAAACCCGGUGAUCUAGCCAUGGGCAGGUUGAAGGUUGGGUAACACUAACUGGAGGACCGAACCGACUAAUGUUGAAAAAUUAGCGGAUGACUUGUGGCUGGGGGUGAAAGGCCAAUCAAACCGGGAGAUAGCUGGUUCUCCCCGAAAGCUAUUUAGGUAGCGCCUCGUGAACUCAUCUUCGGGGGUAGAGCACUGUUUCGGCUAGGGGGUCAUCCCGACUUACCAACCCGAUGCAAACUGCGAAUACCGAAGAAUGUUAUCACGGGAGACACACGGCGGGUGCUAACGUCCGUCGUGAAGAGGGAAACAACCCAGACCGCCAGCUAAGGUCCCAAAGUCAUGGUUAAGUGGGAAACGAUGUGGGAAGGCACAGACAGCCAGGAUGUUGGCUUAGAAGCAGCCAUCAUUUAAAGAAAGCGUAAUAGCUCACUGGUCGAGUCGGCCUGCGCGGAAGAUGUAACGGGGCUAAACCAUGCACCGAAGCUGCGGCAGCGACACUAUGUGUUGUUGGGUAGGGGAGCGUUCUGUAAGCCGUUGAAGGUGUGCUGUGAGGCAUGCUGGAGGUAUCAGAAGUGCGAAUGCUGACAUAAGUAACGAUAAUGCGGGUGAAAAACCCGCACGCCGGAAGACCAAGGGUUCCUGUCCAACGUUAAUCGGGGCAGGGUGAGUCGACCCCUAAGGCGAGGCCGAAAGGCGUAGUCGAUGGGAAACAGGUUAAUAUUCCUGUACUUGGUGUUACUGCGAAGGGGGGACGGAGAAGGCUAUGUUAGCCGGGCGACGGUUGUCCCGGUUUAAGCAUGUAGGCGGAGGUUCCAGGUAAAUCCGGUACCUUUUUAACGCUGAGGUGUGAUGACGAGGCACUACGGUGCUGAAGUAACAAAUGCCCUGCUUCCAGGAAAAGCCUCUAAGCAUCAGGUAACACGAAAUCGUACCCCAAACCGACA